This 69-nucleotide transfer RNA is filed under the name Capsicum annuum. It matches the Rfam family "tRNA". From Rfam's summary of the family: Transfer RNA (tRNA) molecules are approximately 80 nucleotides in length. Their secondary structure includes four short double-helical elements and three loops (D, anti-codon, and T loops). Further hydrogen bonds mediate the characteristic L-shaped molecular structure. tRNAs have two regions of fundamental functional importance: the anti-codon, which is responsible for specific mRNA codon recognition, and the 3' end, to which the tRNAs corresponding amino acid is attached (by aminoacyl-tRNA synthetases). tRNAs cope with the degeneracy of the genetic code in two manners: having more than one tRNA (with a specific anti-codon) for a particular amino acid; and 'wobble' base-pairing, i.e. permitting non-standard base-pairing at the 3rd anti-codon position. Lineage: Eukaryota; Viridiplantae; Streptophyta; Magnoliopsida; Solanales; Solanaceae. The record is from Rfam by way of RNAcentral.
UGUCCCGUAGCUCCGUAGAGCGUUGGUCUUAUGAGCCGAAGGUCGUGGGUCCGAGCCCCACUGGGACCA